UGGGACAAGACCCCUAAAGGACCUUGAGAUGAGGAACACAGAUUUUUGACUCUCAUUAAAAAAUUAGUCCGCCAUGCAUAUGUGGGAGCUGUGAUUUUAAAAAUUGACAUAAAUGAACUAGGACUGGUGUUUUAUAGAGCUGAUGUGAUGUGAAAAAAAGUAUACAAAAAUAAACCUGAUCAAAAAAUUACAAAGGAUAUAUUUUUUAAUGAUUUUUAUGGUCAGAAUUUUGGGAUUAUUUCCUGUGGAGAGUGACAUUUUUCACUAUCUUUCGGGGUUGGGCACUUGACGGGAAAACGAAUCACACUUGCCACCCCGAAAAUCGCACCACAUAUGUCCAAGUGUCUCAGCUUCAAAACGAGCUAUCAUACAUAUCCAAGUUUACGAUAUGGCCUGAGCAACAGAAGAAAACGUUAACAUUAUGGCCUAUGGAAUAUCUAAUGCGCAUAUUGACCCAUCUUGUGACCUUUAAUUUCAAAGGUGAUGGAGUGUUUCAUGGCUCAGUGACUACAAUAUUAGGAUGAAAGCUGCUGAAAUCAAGAGCUACUGCAGCACGAGACUUUUUACCCAUUGUGCAGCCAACAGCUUUUAGAGUUUUAACCAAGGCAACAUCUCUAUUAUUAUUUACUUUCAAGACUGCUGCAGAAGCACGACCUAUGGCAUUGCGGGAGAAAUUCUUAUUUUUUGAUAUGGCUAAAACUUCACAGAAUUGUUCAGAAAUGUGUACUGAAGGGAUACAAACUGCAAAAUAAGUGGAAUCUGACAUUAGCUGAUCUAAUAUGGGACAAGACCCCUAAAGGACCUUGAGAUGAGGAACACAGAUUUUUGACUCUCAUUAAAAAAUUAGUCCGCCAUGCAUAUGUGGGAGCUGUGAUUUUAAAAAUUGACAUAAAUGAACUAGGACUGGUGUUUUAUAGAGCUGAUGUGAUGUGAAAAAAAGUAUACAAAAAUAAACCUGAUCAAAAAAUUACAAAGGAUAUAUUUUUUAAUGAUUUUUAUGGUCAGAAUUUUGGGAUUAUUUCCUGUGGAGAGUGACAUUUUUCACUAUCUUUCGGGGUUGGGCACUUGACGGGAAAACGAAUCACACUUGCCACCCCGAAAAUCGCACCACAUAUGUCCAAGUGUCUCAGCUUCAAAACGAGCUAUCAUACAUAUCCAAGUUUACGAUAUGGCCUGAGCAACAGAAGAAAACGUUAACAUUAUGGCCUAUGGAAUAUCUAAUGCGCAUAUUGACCCAUAUG
Molecule: long non-coding RNA, 1241 nt
Organism: Mytilus trossulus (common blue mussel)
Lineage: Eukaryota; Metazoa; Mollusca; Bivalvia; Mytilida; Mytilidae
Exons: 3
Source: RefSeq, a predicted model, not a curated record